Molecule: long non-coding RNA, 548 nt
Organism: Passer domesticus (house sparrow)
Lineage: Eukaryota; Metazoa; Chordata; Aves; Passeriformes; Passeridae
Exons: 3
Source: RefSeq, a predicted model, not a curated record
CAGCCCAUCAGAGCAAUUAUACUCAGACUCGUUGUAAACACACAAUUGUCAGAGGGUAAGGAUCUUCUCUGCAGUAUACUGAUUUUUGCACACAGAUUGUUUUCCAAAUAGAGGAGCCUCAGAGGGAAUAUUUGGCAGACACCACUGGAAUCAGGAGCUGGUAUUUGGCCAGAUGGUGACGUACAACCAGUGACUGGGGUGUCUGUGUUACUGUGGUGCCCAAGGAACAGUGCUGCAGUGAAGGAUGGGGCACCUCUUCACCAAUUCCAGCAGAGUGUCACCUGCUUACAGAAGGAUCUCUACCAUUUAUUGGCAAUUUAUGUCUGUCAAUACACAGCUGAAAUCAAACAGCAUGGGUGGCAACCGUUUGUUUUUCUGAGGUCAGACAUGAAGAAUUGACAUCUAUGGAUUGAAUCUUUCUUUUGGGGAAAAAAAUGGUUUCAGUAUACCCAUGGCCAAAACCUGCUGUUCUUCCAGCACAGUCGUUUCAUCUGAGCAGAGACUGGACACAGAAUCACAUACAGAGCACUGGAUGGGUAAAGUGCUGC